AUGGGGCAUGGGCUUCAGGAGUAUGCAAGCAGAAAUGGAGGGAGGAAAAUGCAUAUUGAUUUUACAGCAGGGAAAGUGAGACCUACAGACCCAGUCCAAGCAGCAAAGCUUUCUUCUAAGUGUGGUAUCCACAUCAGGAGCAGAAUGCAUGUUGCUACGCACUGGAAGGACUAUGCCAAAAGCCCACUCAAACAUGUUAUUCCCCAUGCUAUUAAAGAUAUUGCACUUAACUUUGAGAUGGAAAAGGAUGACAAGGUUGGGAAUGAUGUAUGCACAAAAGUAAUCCAGAAGGGUGUUCGACAACAAUGCUAUAGGCUAAAGAAGAAAUACUUCAAUGGUUAUACUGCUCAGGAAGCAUUAUCAAAUAAGCCAGCAAACAUUACUCACGAGAAUUGGACCAGCCUUGUCAAUAAAUGGUCCGAUGAAAGAAACAAGCAAUUAUGUCAAAUGAAUAAGGAAAACCGAGAAGCUGUCAAGCAUCACCAGAAGACUGGAUCUAUGUCUUAUGUUGCCUAUUUCAGCAAACUUAAAAAAGACAAGUACAAUAAUCAGGAACCAAGUCCCAUUGAGUUUUUCAAAGAUACCCAUACAAACAGCAAGACUGGUAGCAUGAGCGAGCCAGCACUUCUAGCUCAUAAUGCGAUGGAAAAGAAAAGGAAAACACAAUCAAAAGGUGAGCAACCAGUAUCUGAUACAGCGAUUGUGGCUGAAGUUCUAAAGGACGAAAGCGCCCAUAGCACCUUCCUUUCCAGCAUGGGGUAUGCAUCAAGAUCUGGGAGGUCUGGGAGCUCUACUUCAUCAGCCCAGAUCCGAAUUUUAGAAGAAAGAAUUGAACAGAAGGAUAGAGAGGCAAGAGAUGCAAAUGACAGGUGA
RNAcentral lists this ribosomal RNA (873 nucleotides) under Triticum aestivum (bread wheat). Its description in RNAcentral is "partial small subunit ribosomal RNA". The record is from RNAcentral. Lineage: Eukaryota; Viridiplantae; Streptophyta; Magnoliopsida; Poales; Poaceae.